AUGUUGCACAAUGCCAAGAAUGGCACAUCAAUAGCACACCUCCUUCGUUUGUGCGAGCUGCACUAUGACGCCACAGUGACCAUCCUCAACAUCUCCAACACCAUGCUCAAGGACAACCACGGGCCCAAAGGUGGUGAAAAAUAUGGACCCCCGUCCUAUUAUUUACCCUACUGUGUGGGUAUGGCAUCCAGCCUUGUCGACUACUGUGGGCAUGAGCUUGUUGGUAUGCCUGGGCAGGAGGCGUUGUACAAACAAAAUAUUGAGCUUGGCGAACUGGGUAGCCUCAACGUUGCCUUGGUGGCGCCAUAUUGGGAUUUAACCCAAAAUUAG
This 330-nucleotide ribosomal RNA is filed under the name Triticum aestivum (bread wheat). Its description in RNAcentral is "partial small subunit ribosomal RNA". The record is from RNAcentral. Lineage: Eukaryota; Viridiplantae; Streptophyta; Magnoliopsida; Poales; Poaceae.